This is a long non-coding RNA of Oncorhynchus keta (chum salmon), 1634 nucleotides long. RefSeq lists it as uncharacterized. The record is from RefSeq and is a predicted model, not a curated record. NCBI's taxonomy places the organism in Eukaryota, Metazoa, Chordata, Actinopteri, Salmoniformes, Salmonidae. The transcript has 3 exons.
CCAGGUAGGCUAGUUGAGAACAAGUUCUCAUUUGCAACUGCGACCUGGCCAAGAUAAAGCAUAGCAGUGUGAACAGACAACACAGAGUUACACAUGGAGUAAACAAUUAACAAGUCAAAAUAAUACAGUAGAAAAAAGGAGAGUCUAUAUACAUUGUGUGCAAAAGGCAUGAGGAGGUAGGCGAAUAAUUACAAUUUUGCAGAUUAACACUGGAGUGAAACAGAUGGAUCCUGCUGAAGGUAAACACUGAAACAGAUGGAUCCUGCUGAAGGUAAACACUGAAACAGAUGGAUCCUGCUGAAGGUAAACACUGAAACAGAUGGAUCCUGCUGAAGGUAAACACUGAAACAGAUGGAUCCUGCUGAAGGUAAACACUGAAACAGAUGGAUCCUGCUGAAGGUAAACACUGAAACAGAUGGAUCCUGCUGAAGGUAAACACUGAAACAGAUGGAUCCUGCUGAAGGUAAACACUGAAACAGAUGGAUCCUGCUGAAGGUAAACACUGAAACAGAUGGAUCCUGCUGAAGGUAAACACUGAAGCUGAAGGUAAACACAGAAACAGAUGGAUCCUGCUGAAGGUAAACACUGAAACAGAUGGAUCCUGCAGAAGGUAAACACAGAAACAGAUGGAUCCUGCUGAAGGUAAACACUGAAACAGAUGGAUCCUGCUGAAGGUAAACACAGAAACAGAUGGAUCCUGCUGAAGGUAAACACUGAAACAGAUGGAUCCUGCUGAAGGUAAACACUGAAACAGAUGGAUCCUGCUGAAGGUAAACACUGAAACAGAUGGAUCCUGCUGAAGGUAAACACUGAAACAGAUGGAUCCUGCUGAAGGUAAACACUGAAACAGAUGGAUCCUGCUGAAGGUAAACACUGAAACAGAUGGAUCCUGCUGAAGGUAAACACUGAAACAGAUGGAUCCUGCUGAAGGUAAACACUGAAACAGAUGGAUCCUGCUGAAGGUAAACACUGAAACAGAUGGAUCCUGCUGAAGGUAAACACUGAAACAGAUGGAUCCUGCUGAAGGUAAACACUGAAACAGAUGGAUCCUGCUGAAGGUAAACACUGAAACAGAUGGAUCCUGCUGAAGGUAAACACUGAAACAGAUGGAUCCUGCUGAAGGUAAACACUGAAACAGAUGGAUCCUGCUGAAGGUAAACACUGAAACAGAUGGAUAGAUCCUGCUGAAGGUAAACACUGAAACAGAUGGAUCCUGCUGAAGGUAAACACUGAAACAGAUGGAUCCUGCUGAAGGUAAACACUGAAACAGAUGGAUCCUGCUGAAGGUAAACACUGAAACAGAUGGAUCCUGCUGAAGGUAAACACUGAAACAGAUGGAUCCUGCUGAAGGUAAACACUGAAACAGAUGGAUAGAUCCUGCUGAAGGUAAACGCUGAAACAGAUGGAUAGAUCCUGCUGAAGGUAAACACUGAAACAGAUGGAUCCUGCUGAAGGUAAACACUGAAACAGAUGGAUAGAUCCUGCUGAAGGUAAACGCUGAAACAGAUGGAUAGAUCCUGCUGAAGGUAAACACUGAAACAGAUGGAUCCUGCUGAAGGUAAACACUGAAACAGAUGGAUAGAUCCUGCUGAAGGUAAACGCUGAAACAGAUGGAUAGAUCCUGCUGAAGGUAA